CCCUUGACUCUCAGCCCAUGUCCAGUCAGGUGAGGUGCCCAGAGUACCUCCCGAGCAGCACCACCGCCUUGCUGACAGUGACUGUGUGUCCCCUAGCAACCCUCGAUGAUGUUGUGGAGGCCGGCGGGAGUGAGAAGACGGAGGAAGAGGCCCUGGCUGGGGCAAAUGAGGAGGAGGUGGGGCCGGGAACUGAGAAGGUGCAGGAGGAGGCUGCCUGCAUUGACGAGGCAGAGGAGGAGGCAGGCCCAUCCCUUGAAAAUGACGAGGAGUCCCCAGCCAGCGACCUGGUUGAGCAGGAAGACCAGCUUGCCCCCAAGGUGGACGGGAUGGACGAUGAAAGCCGUAAGUAUUCUGGAACCCGGCUCUGCUGAGGAGAAGUCCAGGUGUUGAGGAAGGGCGGGGGGUGCUUUCCUGCCCCUUUGGUUGCAGAGACACCCUGAUUCUGGGUUCCUCCUGGGAAAGGGGGUGACGGAUGGGGUGAAAGAGACUGACUUCCCACAAAAGGGCCAUCCCAAGUCCUCGGGUCCCUGGAGGAAAGGAGGCUCUUUGUAUGGUGGGGGUAGGUGUCCGGGAACAUUGGGGGGUGUGCGUGUGAGGGCCUGUUGGUGUGAUUGUGAACCAGUGUGAGUGGGUGUGUUUUGUGGGGAGUCACUUGUGCCUUAGCACCACAUAGCUGUCCAGUUUCUCGUUGAACAGUCUCAUGAUGACCGCAGGCUAACUGUCCAUUCCCUCAUUCUCCCUGCACCCGCUGGGAGCAAGGUUUGGGGAAAAGGCUUUCCUUCCUCUGUUGGUCUUUCGUUUCCUCUUUUCUUCCCCCUCUGCUUGGUGCAGACUUUCAUGCUGUUGUUUCAAACAUGUGCCAUGAACUCGAGCCUCUUGAGGUUGUAAGUGUCCC
RNAcentral lists this long non-coding RNA (895 nucleotides) under Sus scrofa (pig). RNAcentral describes it as "lncRNA (ENSSSCG00070004653.1)". The record is from RNAcentral. Lineage: Eukaryota; Metazoa; Chordata; Mammalia; Artiodactyla; Suidae.